RNAcentral lists this non-coding RNA (151 nucleotides) under uncultured Cetobacterium sp. Lineage: Bacteria; Fusobacteriati; Fusobacteriota; Fusobacteriia; Fusobacteriales; Fusobacteriaceae. The record is from RNAcentral.
AAUUUUUAGGUGCUUCGGCAUAACAAGGAAGUAGGUGAGAUUCCUACGCAGCCUCCGCUACUGUAAUGAGGAUGAAACUAUAUUAACCACUGGAUAUUUCUGGGAAGGAUAGGAGUAAAAUGAUUCUAAGUCAGGAGACUUACCUAAAAAU